Long non-coding RNA from Syngnathoides biaculeatus (alligator pipefish), 1280 nucleotides. RefSeq lists it as uncharacterized. The transcript has 3 exons. The record is from RefSeq and is a predicted model, not a curated record. NCBI's taxonomy places the organism in Eukaryota, Metazoa, Chordata, Actinopteri, Syngnathiformes, Syngnathidae.
GCGUCGAGUCAAGUUUAGAGUUGGAGAGCGCAAGUCAGCCAUAGAAAAGCACUCUCCCUCAAAGCCCUCAAUCAUUGAAUGGCCUAUUCAAAAACUAGUACUUUUACUUGAAGGUGUUUGAUGAGAUAAAGACUCCUAUCAGACCUAAUAUUGAUCCGUUACAUUGUGACCUAAAUCAAGUUUGUUGCCAUCAGUAAAAUCAUAUAUGGUUAUUUGUUGGUCUUUGUUUUGUUUAAUCAUAUUAUGAUUUGGUGGGAGUUUUAGUGGCCAGUUGAGUAAAUUGAAUGAACCAUUCAUGUUCUGGGGUGAUCCACAAGCUGAUUACCUGUGCUGAUUGCCACACCUGUGUUGGUUUGCCAUACUUACCUGGGCGAUCACACAGAGAGGAGGUUAUGUGGAGUAGAGCAGAGAAGCAGAUUUGUGGCCUUCAUUGUCAUUGAAGAGUUUGCACCCUUGGUAGGCGGAGCGAGUUUCACAGUGCUUGAAGAUGCAAUAAAGUUUGCACCGGUUGAACUCUACGCUGUCUCAUUGAUGCUAAGGGCUGCUACAAUGUUCUUUGUCUUGCUCAAUUUUUUUUUUUUUUAUAAACUGUGCAAGGCAUGGUUGUGUUUUUAUACCAUGACAGGUAAUUGUCAGUUUGAACUCUUUGAUUUUUCUGUGUUACACAUUAGGACCCUCACCAAACGUUUCUCCUGGUGAACAUUGGUUAGGUGUCUUAGUAAUAGAGUUUUAAGCAUGACUGCAGUCCUAAGAGGGUCCUGCAUUAAGAGGUUCUUCGUACUCCAAAGACACUAGCGGCCUCAAAUAUACACUGUGAAACAGUUGGGAAGAAAAUUGGCACCUCCAAAUCUUAGACCAUGGUUAUAGUUGAAAAAAGGUGGCGUGCCCUCUCUUGGUUAGGGAUGAGAUCCUGCCCCAAGUGGAGGAUUUCUAGUAGUAGGAGUUCCUCUCUAGGAGUCUCGUACAUGAGUGAGGGAAGAAUGGAGCGAGAGAUCGACGGCCAGAUCGGUGCAGUGUCUGCAGUUAUGUGGACCUUUGUAUUGAUCUGUUCUGCUAAAGGAGGAGCCCAGCUGAUAGGUGACGCUCUCUUUUUACCGGUCCAUCUAUGUUCUUACCCUCAUCUAUGGUUACGAGCUCUGGAUGGCAACUGAAAGGACAAGGUCCCGGGUACAAGCAGCCGAAAUGAGUUUCUUCCGCAUAUUGUCCGGGCUCUACAUUCGAGAUAAAAUCAGAAGCUCGGUCAUCUGGACGGUGCUCAGAUUAGAGCAACUGCUCCCCCA